UCUGAUGCAUCAUCAGCGAGUGAAUUGUGAGAAGAUGAGCAUGAAAACACAAAGGCCAAAUCCAAGAAGAAAGUACAAGCUCCUCGAUUUUUCGAAGUGAAGGAUAAAUGGCAAAAGAAGGGUUUUCUAAAAAUCCCU
This is a non-coding RNA of Sesamum indicum (sesame), 138 nucleotides long. Lineage: Eukaryota; Viridiplantae; Streptophyta; Magnoliopsida; Lamiales; Pedaliaceae. The record is from RefSeq and is a predicted model, not a curated record.